GAAGCGCUACAAAUUGAAUCGAAAACUGAUGCGUGGUCUUUUUUUCCAUAAGCAAGAGCUGGGUAUGGCACGUGGCUGCAGAACUAUGGUCGGCGCGGCAUCUAUCAACCCGUUUAUUUCAAACGGUUGCUAUUUUGCAUGAACAGAUAUGAUGAGCCAGGAGUGCCUGAAGAGUUUCAGGGUGUCCCUGAGUGUCUUGGUUCUAGCUCGUCAUGGUAUGGAGCCAGAUCAGUGAUACUGCCCAAGAGGUGGGGAGUGUGAAAAUCGUGUCAUGGAGUUCAAGGAUUGUGAGAGCGGCAGAUGGCGAUGGACACCUCUGACAUGAUGAACCUGGGUGCUUGCUGAGGUGCCGGGUGUACAGAGGUGUCUCAUAAGUGGCUUAACAUGGCAUGAUGAAUCUGGUUCCUUGUAGCGGUGUAUGGUGUACAGAGGUGUCAUGUGGCUUAACAUGGUGAACAUGAUGACUGUGGGUGCUUGCUGAGGUGCAGGGUGUACGGAGGUGUCUCAUAAGUGGCUUAACAUGAAACAAGAGUUGAUGAGCAUAUGAAGGCAUGGGGAUGGAAGUUCCAGCCACCAGGAAGAAUGGAAUUUGGAAAAAAUUCACAUUUUUGUUCUUGUUUAAAAAAAAUAAAAUAAAUUGUAAAUUGUGGUCUUUUCCCCUAAUUGAAUGGCAUUAAAGCACCUACAGUUCCUUCAUAA
Molecule: long non-coding RNA, 699 nt
Organism: Anguilla rostrata (American eel)
Lineage: Eukaryota; Metazoa; Chordata; Actinopteri; Anguilliformes; Anguillidae
Exons: 8
Source: RefSeq, a predicted model, not a curated record